RNAcentral lists this long non-coding RNA (2713 nucleotides) under Prunus dulcis (almond). RNAcentral's name for it is "sRNA ncRNA". Lineage: Eukaryota; Viridiplantae; Streptophyta; Magnoliopsida; Rosales; Rosaceae. The record is from RNAcentral.
AUCAGCGUCUACAACCACCCUUCUUUCUUUUACCCCUCAGAUUUUAGAUUUCUAUUUUUUUCUUUUUCUUUUUCUUUUUUCAGCCAAGCAGAGCUCUCUCUCUCUCAAAUCUUGAACCACCUCCUCCUCCCUCCCUCCUCUCUCUAUCUCACUCAGAUCCUCCGUUGUCUCGGAUCGUUUGUCGUGGCUUCACAAGUUUCAAUUUUUUCGAUAACCUUUAUGACGAUAUCCAUUGGUCUUCGGCAAUUGACACGCCGCUUCUCCAUCUUAUUCUUUAGUAUAUUCUCACAGCGCAGUCUUCCCUCGGCCUUCUCUCUCACCCUCUCAGUCCCGUUAAUUGCCUCUUGCACCAUCGAGUGACCCCACUGAAACCCAGACGAACAACCCUCAAAUUUGACCCAUAAAUCAAACUCAGACCGCUGCCUCCUCUGCUCAAAGGCGAAAGGUAUAGUUGUUUCUUUUCUCCACUUCUUUUUGUAAUUUGAUAUGCAUAUUAUAAUUUGAUAACUUUUGGAAUGUUUGAAAAUUUGAAAGCAGAACUAUCUUGUGUAUUUUAACGAUUUCCUACAUCAUGACCUUAAAUUUCCAGAUUAAUUUACGAAUCCCUAGAUCAUGAGUUUCAGUUUCGAGAUUAAUGAACCAGUAUCUUGUGGAUUUUAACAGGUGCGAAAUCUCUAGUUGUUUGGAACUCAGGUAAAUUUGGUGUCGAAGCCACUUUUGAAUAUGUGUUUGUGAUUCUGUCGAAGCCACUCUUGGCCUCUCCUUCUUUUCAUUGUGAACUUGGACUCUUCAAAGGUGACAUGUUUGAAUCAUUUCUAGGGUUCCAUUUGACAUCGCAUUCGCACUAGCCCAAAUUUCUUUAUAAUUAGGGAGUCUUUGAAUCAUUUUGCAAUUCAAGUUAUGAACUUUGCCCUUAUCUACAUUUGCACUAACCUUCAGUUGUCAUCAUAAAUUUGCUACAUUUUCCUAAUGCUUGAAUUCCUUGUGUUUUUUUCCAAGGUAUUAACUGCACCAUUAUGAUUAAAUGUCAUCUUCUGCUUUCCUCGAAUUUACUAAUUCAUGACUCUUAGAUUCUCUUCAUUUUUGGUACUUCCUUGAGCUUGUGGAUGUAUCUUUUAAAAAUAUUCAUUGUAGUACACAUGGAUGUUGAGGUAACCUUUCCUUCUUUUUGCUUUCCAAGGGUAUGUUGAGGUAAUUCAUAAAUUCAUAUAACAGGGGCACAAGUGCUCUACAUGACAAUCUUUUGCGAUAUUCCAGAAUGCCUAAACUAUACAAACUACAGCUACAAGCCAUGUGUUAUAAUCCUUCACUGCCAAUCUUUGGUAACAAUAAUUGUUUUGUCAGGUGAGAAGAAUACAUUUUGGGGUCAUGUACAUAUGUAUUUUCAUAUAAGAAUGCGACAUAACAUCCUUCUAUUAAAUUUAGUUUCGUUUAAAAAACUGUAAAAUUAUAAACUCAAAUUCUGUUGGUACCAUUAGUUUUUACUACAAUUGACAUUAGGUACAAUUUGUCUUACUAUCUUGGAAAUAUUUGGUGUAGAGGAAUGGAAAAAGGCUUGAAGAUGAGCUGCCCAUUGAAGCAAAUGGAGACUACACCAAGUGAAGGAGGAGGAGCUUAAUUAAUGGUAUUUUAUGGUUGUUGAUGAGCACAUUUUAUAUCUUAAUUUAUAUUCCUAAAAUAUAUUUAUUAGUCCUUUUUGUCUGAUAAAUUUAGUAUUGAGUAGAGUUAGAGACAUAAGGUUAAAUUUGGUGCACUACUUUGACCAACUUUGGCUUCUAUUUGUUAUUGUUGGUAUUUUUCUCUUCUUUCUAAUUUCAUGUCUUUCUUUUUAAGGUACAAUAGACACGCUGGCUGCACACUUAUUUGGUAAUAUGUUGAAGAUAUUUUUCUCUAACAACAAAUGACUUGGAGAGAUAGUCUAGAGUCCUGAAUCUUUGCAUCAUGAGGAGGAUAUGGUUCAGUGGACAGAAUGUUAAGGCCAUGGGCUGAAGCUUUAUAGGCUGUUCUGUUUGAAAACCACAGCUAGGUUGGUGCAUAUCUCUUUGUUUUCACAUGGGUUAAUAAAAAUGUUAUUGGUUCUUUAAUGCUUAUGUGAUCUUGAUUUAUCAUUGCCUGAAAUAACUCCAAGAAAUUAUUUACAUUGAUUCCCAUUUGUUUCUUCAAUGCAAAAUUUAACUGUUAUAUUGUCCAUUCUCAUUCAAAUCAGAAAGUUACUUCUUUUGUAACAAUGGGGAAAUAAUCCUUUUACUAUAUGGUAAACUGAUAUGUGAUCAUUGUCUUUUCCCUUUUUUUUAUUCGUUACAUUUUCUGGAUGUCAGGAAGACGACUGCAUAAUCAAUCAAGUUGGGAGACUUGGUGCUAAAAGAUUGUCUGUUCUUGCAAAGUUCUUACCAGAGUGAGUUAUACUGUGAAAACUCACUUUCAAAUCUUGAGAGAACCACUCAAAUGCAUGAUAAUAUGCAAAUUAGACUGGUUUCCAAUUUAUAAGCAUGCUGUUUGUAUUUCAUUUAUAUUGAUAAGUGAUUUAUAAUUCCUUUGCUACAAGCCACAACGCAUCAUCAUGGCAAGCCAUUCAUGGUCUUAUCUCCCGACUAAUAUCUUAACCAAAGUCGCCGAACGUCUCUCAUAUUGAGUCCGCAACUUUAUUAAAUUGUUUAAGAAUGAUUAACUUUUUUUUUCUUCUUAAUUUUUCUUGACAUUAUUUUUGUUUCAA